UACGUAGGUGGCAAGCGUUGUCCGGAAUUAUUGGGCGUAAAGCGCGCGCAGGCGGCCUCUUAAGUCUGAUGUGAAAGCCCCCGGCUCAACCGGGGAGGGCCAUUGGAAACUGGGAGGCUUGAGUAUAGGAGAGAAGAGUGGAAUUCCACGUGUAGCGGUGAAAUGCGUAGAGAUGAUGGAGGAACACCAGUGGCGAAGGCGACUC
This 205-nucleotide ribosomal RNA is filed under the name uncultured bacterium. RNAcentral's name for it is "partial 16S ribosomal RNA". It matches the Rfam family "Bacterial small subunit ribosomal RNA", at positions 524 to 727 of the family's 1533-position model. The record is from RNAcentral.